This 85-nucleotide transfer RNA is filed under the name Felis catus (domestic cat). It matches the Rfam family "tRNA". From Rfam's summary of the family: Transfer RNA (tRNA) molecules are approximately 80 nucleotides in length. Their secondary structure includes four short double-helical elements and three loops (D, anti-codon, and T loops). The record is from Rfam by way of RNAcentral. Lineage: Eukaryota; Metazoa; Chordata; Mammalia; Carnivora; Felidae.
GCCUGGGUGGCUCAGUCGGUUGAGCGUCUGACUUUGACUCAGCUCAUGAGCUCACGGUUUGUGGGUUCAAGCCCCGCGUCGGGCU